Molecule: unclassified non-coding RNA, 251 nt
Filed under: Hevea brasiliensis (rubber tree)
Lineage: Eukaryota; Viridiplantae; Streptophyta; Magnoliopsida; Malpighiales; Euphorbiaceae
Source: RNAcentral
GAAGAAGAAGAAGAAGAAGAGAGUGUGCUGAUUGCAGCCAUUAUUGUUUCUGUUUACAAAAAACUUAAAUCAGAGAAAUUAGAAUUAGCUGUGAAGUUCCUAUUAGUUAAAAAAAAAUGAAGAAUGUCUGGAAAAUAUUGAGAGCUUGCAGAGGAUAUGAGUGGGACAUAUGCAUCGGAGAUUUUCAUCUCCGACAAAAAUCUCAACUUGUGGUUCAUGUUCAUGUGGGAGUCCUGUCAUGUGGAUUAUGG